GGAAGCGUGCCUGAAAAAGGACUACCUUGAUAGAGUAGACAUGGAACUAAAGCCCACUUCCU
RNAcentral lists this transfer RNA (62 nucleotides) under Macrovipera schweizeri. RNAcentral's name for it is "tRNA-Ile". RNAcentral also lists the same sequence under 1 other name. Lineage: Eukaryota; Metazoa; Chordata; Lepidosauria; Squamata; Viperidae. The record is from RNAcentral.